GACGAACGCUGGCGGCGUGCUUAACACAUGCGAGUCGAACGGAAAGGCCCUGCUUUUGUGGGGUGCUCGAGUGGCGAACGGGUGAGUAACACGUGAGUAACCUGCCCUUGACUUUGGGAUAACUUCAGGAAACUGGGGCUAAUACCGGAUAGGAGCUCCUGCUGCAUGGUGGGGGUUGGAAAGUUUCGGCGGUUGGGGAUGGACUCGCGGCUUAUCAGCUUGUUGGUGGGGUAGUGGCUUACCAAGGCUUUGACGGGUAGCCGGCCUGAGAGGGUGACCGGCCACAUUGGGACUGAGAUACGGCCCAGACUCCUACGGGAGGCAGCAGUGGGGAAUAUUGCACAAUGGGCGGAAGCCUGAUGCAGCAACGCCGCGUGCGGGAUGACGGCCUUCGGGUUGUAAACCGUUUUCGCCUGUGACGAAGCGUGAGUGACGGUAAUGGGUAAAGAAGCACCGGCUAACUACGUG
This 468-nucleotide ribosomal RNA is filed under the name uncultured bacterium. Its description in RNAcentral is "partial 16S ribosomal RNA". It matches the Rfam family "Bacterial small subunit ribosomal RNA", at positions 28 to 507 of the family's 1533-position model. The record is from RNAcentral.